GGGCGGCUUCCGGCCUUCCGGCUUUCGGCUCGCAGGAGGUCGUGGUGCAACUUUCUUCGGUCGUCCCGAGUCCGGGUUCAUCCGACACCAUCCGCCUCCGCCAUGCCGCCUAAGUUCGACCCCAGCGAGAUCAAAGUCGUGUACCUGAGGUGCACCGGUGGCGAAGUAGGGGCCACGUCUGCCCUGGCCCCCAAGAUCGGCCCCCUGGGUCUGAUCGAGGUGGUACCUUCUGCCUCUGCUUGAUCAUCAGAGCCCUCAAGGAACCACCAACAGACAGAAACAAAAAAACAUUAAACACAAUGGAAAUAUCAGGUUUGAAGAGAUUGUUAACAUUGCCCGACAGAAUGUGGCACAGAUCUUUACCCAGCGAACUCUCUGGAACCAUUAAAGAGAUCCUGGGGACUGCCCAGUCUGUGGGCUGCAAUGUUGAUGGCUGCCACCCUCAUGACAUCAUAGAUGACAUCAACAGUGGUGCUGUGGAAUGCCCAGUUGUGAUUUCUGCAUCAGCGUCAUUUGGUUAUAAUAGGGGUGAAAACUGGGGGAGGAGCAACUGUGUUCAUGGAGAUAAGCUGGAAAGUUAUAGAAAUGGACAGUGGGUAGGAUUGGGAGAUUUUUUUUUUUUUAACUCCUUUUACUGAUAGAGCUUUUUUCUUUCUUGCAGAGUUAAGAAGUACAAAGGAAAAUAUUUUAAUAAAGGGUCU
Long non-coding RNA from Cynocephalus volans (Philippine flying lemur), 701 nucleotides. RefSeq lists it as uncharacterized. The record is from RefSeq and is a predicted model, not a curated record. NCBI's taxonomy places the organism in Eukaryota, Metazoa, Chordata, Mammalia, Dermoptera, Cynocephalidae. The transcript has 5 exons.